GGACCAUGUGGUAGCCUGCGUUGGCUGUCUCCAGCAGGUUCCUGUGUGAUUGCGUUUUUAAAGCUAGCUCUACCUACCUAAGUGUCGUUGACACUGGCUCUUGCUGAAGCCUUAUUACUCUUUAAAGAGCAAUUUGGUUGGUUGCACGGCUAUUAGGAUCAGGCAGCGAGGAUUAGAGCUGUCAUUGCAACUGCUUCUCUUCUUUUUUUCUUACAGUCUUGACAUUCCUUUCUUGCAUUGCUUUCCUUCUUUUCUUCUGCUGGACACAAACUGUGGAUGUUUUCCAUCCCACUCGCAGUGUGAAAGCUGAAGGAUGUAUUCCCAGUGAAACCCGAAGUAGAGAGAGCAGGAAAUAAUUUUGCAGCAGCAGCAGCAGCUUCAGUGUAGCACGCCGGCUGGAUGUGAUGUGGGCGAUGCUGGAUCAGUGAGAAAUGUAGCUUUCCUUAGGGCUAUAUCAGUGAGAUAUUACCUCAACAGAUGAGGAUGGCAAAGCAAGCCCCUGCUCUCAUUUCCCAGUGAUUAAUGACAUCGUCCAAAGUGAAUGUGGAGUGGAGGCAAAUAAAGAUGUGAAGAUGAGGUGCGAGUAACUCUUGGAAAUGUUUUCGAGGGGAAAAACAGGAUUUUUUUCAGUGUUUGAACUUCUUUUAUUUCUCUUUCUCCUGUUGUGGGAACCAACUCUCGCCAAGCAGAGUAGAACUAAAGGAAGACACUGGAAAGGUGGAUCCCGCCUUCGCCAGGAGGACUCCCCACCCCGGAUUGUGGAGCACCCCUCUGACCUGAUCGUCUCCAAGGGGGAGCCGGCCACCCUCAACUGCAAGGCAGAGGGCCGGCCCACCCCCACAGUGGAGUGGUACAAGGACGGAGAGCGGGUGGAGACCGACAAGGACGACCCCCGCUCCCACCGCAUGCUGCUGCCCAGUGGCUCGCUCUUCUUCCUGCGCAUCGUGCACGGGCGCCGCAGCAAGCCGGACGAGGGCAGUUAUGUCUGCGUGGCCAGGAACUACCUGGGGGAGGCUGUGAGCCGCAAUGCAUCCCUUGAAGUUGCAUUGCUGCGGGAUGACUUCCGACAGAACCCUACUGAUGUUGUUGUGGCAGCUGGAGAACCUGCUAUUCUGGAAUGCCAGCCCCCUCGUGGACACCCAGAGCCAACAAUCUACUGGAAGAAAGAUAAAGUGCGCAUUGAUGAUAAGGAAGACAGGAUUACGAUCCGAGGUGGGAAGCUCAUGAUCUCCAACACCAGGAAAAGCGAUGCAGGCAUGUAUGUCUGUGUGGGAACCAACAUGGUUGGGGAACGAGACAGUGAAACAGCACAACUCACAGUGUUUGAGCGGCCUACAUUUCUGAGGCGGCCAAUCAACCAGAUAGUGCUGGAGGAGGAGGCAGUGGAGUUCCGGUGCCAGGUCCAAGGAGACCCCCAGCCCUCUGUGCGCUGGCGGAAGGACGAUGCAGACUUGCCCAGAGCACGGUAUGACAUUAAGGAUGACUAUGUGCUCCGCAUUAAAAAAGCUUCCAGCAGCGAUGAAGGCACCUAUACCUGCAUUGCUGAGAACCGCGUGGGAAAAGUAGAGGCCUCAGCAUCCCUUACUGUCAGGGCUCGCCCCGUCGCACCCCCUCAGUUUGUGGUCAGGCCGAGGGAUCAGAUUGUUGCGCAGGGACGGACUGCUACUUUCCCCUGUGAGACAAAAGGAAACCCACAGCCAGCUGUCUUCUGGCAGAAAGAAGGUAGUCAGAACUUACUGUUCCCAAACCAGCCCCUGCAGCCCAAUAGCAGGUUUGCAGUGUCGCAGAGUGGUGACCUCACCAUCUCGAAUGUGCAGCGCUCAGAUGCUGGGUACUACAUCUGCCAGGCUCUCACCGUUGCUGGCAGCAUCUUGGCCAAGGCUCAGCUGGAAGUCACGGAUGUUUUGACAGAUAGGCCUCCGCCAAUUAUUCGCCAAGGCCCAGCCAAUCAGACACUUGGUGUCGACACUGUGGCCUUGCUGAGGUGCCAGGCAUCAGGAGACCCCAUCCCAAACAUCAGCUGGUUAAAGGAUGGGGUUAGUCUGCUGGGCAAGGACUCCCGGAUGUCUCUACAGGAUCUUGGAAGCCUCCAGAUCAAAAAUGUCAGAAUAUCAGAUUCUGGUGUAUAUACCUGUGUAGCAGCAAGUUCCAGUGGGGAAACAUCUUGGAGUGCCUUUUUGGAAGUGAGAGAAUCUGCAGGGGCUACAGUAACCAAGAGCCACAAUGUGAAUGAUCUUCCCGGGCCACCCUCCAAACCCCAGGUCACUGAUGUCACAAAGAACAGUGUCUCAUUGUCAUGGCAGCCAGGGAUGACUGGGGGCUCACCCGUCACUUCUUAUGUGAUUGAGGCCUUUAGCCAGUCAGUGAGUAACAGCUGGCAAACAGUGGCAGAUCACGUCAAGACAACACUCUACACUGUCAGAGGUCUCCGGCCAAACACUAUCUAUCUCUUCAUGGUCAGAGCUGUGAACUUACAGGGCCUUAGUGACCCUAGUCCAAUGUCAGAACCAGUUCGCACUCAAGAUAUCAGCCCCCCUGCACAGGGCGUGGAUCACAGGCAUGUUCAGAAGGAGCUAGGAGAGGUGAUAGUGCGACUCCACAAUCCUGUGGUUCUCAGCCCCACCACAGUUCAGGUCACAUGGACGGUGGACCGCCAGUCACAGUUCAUUCAGGGCUAUCGGGUCUUAUACAGACAAACCUCAGGACUACCCUCACCUUCCAGCUGGCAAAGCCAGGAUGUGAAAGUGCCAACAGAGAGGAGUGUUGUUCUUUCUGGUCUAAAGAAAGGCGUUGUCUAUGACGUCAAAGUCCGCCCAUAUUUCAAUGAGUUCCAAGGCAUGGACAGUGAGUCCAAGACAGCUCGCACCACUGAGGAAGCCCCAAGCGCUCCUCCACAGUCUGUCACUGUCCUGAUGGUUGGAAACCAUAACAGCACCAGCAUCAGUAUCUCUUGGGACCCGCCACCUCCAGAUCACCAGAACGGGAUAAUCCAAGAGUACAAGAUCUGGUGUCUGGGAAAUGAGACUCGCUUCCAUGUCAACAAGACUGUAGAUGCAGCAAUUCGCUCCGUUCUCAUUGGAGGACUCUACCCUGGGAUUCAAUACCGGGUCGAGGUGGCAGCGAGCACCAGUGCUGGUGUGGGGGUUAAAAGUGAACCACAGCCUAUCAUUAUAGGAAAUAUCAGGGAUGUCAUUGUGAGUGGGCCUGGAAGCAACAACAGCAUCACAGAGCAAAUCACUGAUGUCGUCAAGCAGCCUGCCUUCAUAGCUGGCAUCGGUGGGGCCUGCUGGGUUAUCCUGAUGGGCUUCAGCAUCUGGUUGUACUGGCGUCGAAAGAAGAGGAAAGGUCUUAGCAAUUAUGCAGUUCAGUCCUUCACCUUCACUCCUGCAGUCACCUUUCAGCGUGUGGAUGGAGGAAUGAUGAGCAAUGGAAGCCGUCCAGGUCUAGUCAAUGCAAGUGAUCCCAGCUACCCCUGGCUAGCAGACUCUUGGCCUGCGACGAGCCUUCCAGUCAACAGUGGCACCAGUGGACCAAAUGAUCUUGGAAACUUUGGCCGUGGAGAUGUGCUGCCUUCAGUGCCAGGCCAGGGAGACAAAACAGGAACCAUGCUCUCUGAUGGUGCCAUCUACAGCAGCAUAGACUUCACCACCAAGGCCAGCUACAACAGCCCCAGUCAGAUUUCACAGGCCACCCCUUAUGCCACCACACAGAUCCUUCACUCCAACAGCAUCCAUGAACUGGCUGUAGACCUGCCUGACCCCCAGUGGAAAGCUUCUAUCCAGGCUAAACAGGAACUCACAGGACUGGGCUACUCACUGCCUGAUAAAAACUCCUGCAACAACACACUACUUUUCAUUCCUGACUACCGAUUGGCCGAAGGAUUGUCUAAUAGAAUGCCACACAACCAAUCACAAGAUUUCAGCACCACCAGCUCUCACAACAGCUCAGAAAGGAGCAGCAGUCUCUCAGGUGGAAAAGGAGGAAAGAAAAAGAAAAACAAAAGUGGAUCCAAACCUCAGAAGACAAAUGGAUCAAACUGGGCCAAUGUUCCCCUGCCGCCUCCACCUGUCCACCCGCUGCCUGGCACAGAGCUUGACCACUACACUGGAGAUCAGCAGGAGGGAGGGUAUGAGAGUGACGGCUGGGGACCCCCACUCCCAGUCCAGACUUACCUUCAUCAGGGGUUGGAAGAUGAGCUGGAGGAGGAAGACGAGCGGGUGCCCACUCCACCCAUCCGGGGAGUGGCUUCCUCCCCUGCAGUGUCCUUCGGUCAGCAGUCCACCGCUACACUCACGCCCUCCCCACGGGAUGAGAUGCAGCCCAUGCUUCAGGCUCACCUGGAUGAGCUGACCCGGGCCUACCAGUUUGACAUUGCCAAACAAACCUGGCACAUGCAGGGCAGUAACCACCCACCCCAAGCCCCUGCCCCUCCUGUGGGGUAUAUCUCUAGUACUCUGGUCUCAGAUCUUGAGACUGACAUUCCAGAUGAGGAAGACGAUGAUGAAGAAGAGGACGAAGCUUAUGAAAUGGCACGGCCACUCAGAGGUAUAGAGCACACCCCUGGCUCCAGCAUGGACAAUCUGGACAGCUCAGUGACAGGUUCAAUGAUUAAUGGCUGGGGUUCUGCUUCAGACGAGGAGCGAAACUUCUCUAGCCAUAGAUCUAGUGUAGGUAGCUCCUCUGACGACUCCAUUUUUACCAACGGCAGUUUUGCCCAGGCGCUGGUGGCAGCAGCCGGCAAAGCAGGCUACAGGUUUGAUGGGACAAGCCUCACCAAGAAAGGAAAAGGCUAUCCUCAAAGGCCUCGACCUGGAAGUCCAUUCUCCACAGACAGUAAUACAAGUGCAGCAUAUAACCAGAGCCAAAAGUCCAGGCCCAUGAAAAAACACAAGGCUGGCAGGCUGGAGCCAGCCCCAGCGCCUCAUCGCAGAGAGGGCAUCACAGACGACCUCCCUCCCCCUCCAGACCCACCGCCAUGCCAGGGCUCUAGGGCUCAGCUCGGUGCAGGACAGCGAGCUGGGGGCAUGGCCAACUCUGGAGAGAGGAAGGCCAGCUCCUUGGAGCGACAGCAGGUCUCCAGCCUGGAGGAAAAGAAGAGCUCCCUGGAGAGGCAGACUAGGACAUCUCUAGAAAGACAGCAACAAGCCCAGGAUCGUGUGGGCUCUAUGGAGCGCAAUGAUGAUGUCAGGAGACACCACAAACAAGCACUUGGAUCAGAAGAGGUACUGGUUCCAUACAGCAAACCCAACUUCCCAUCUCCUGGAGGACACAGCUCCUCGGGAACUGCUUCUUCCAAAGGGUCCACAGGGCCAAGGAAAGGUGAUGUCACACGAGGGUACAUGGGGACGAAUGGCCAAGGACAGUACUCUGGAGAAUUAUGCUGCACAGUAGGAGAGUAAAUGCAGCAUUUUCAUCUCAUGGAUCUUCUUCAUCUGACCUGCAGAAGUCUCUUUAAUUUGGAGUGCAUUGGAAAAGAAACACCAUAGGAUGAGAAACCAUUUCAGCACCCACCGAAGUGAUAACACCAGUUGGUGCAAUGAACUUUUCCCUUAUUUAUAUACCAUUAGCAAAGAAAAAAGGAAAACUGUAAAUGUGAUGUAAAGACACACAGACACAUAUCCCACUGAUGCUGAUUUCUGUUUUAGCCUCCUUAAAAUAAAGUAACACACCUCCCACCUUAACUAUUUCUUGUCAGGAAAAAAAAAUAAAAAAGUGAUUUUAAAGUACAAAUUCGCCCUUCAAGACAAAGGGAUUUUGUUUCUGUAAAUAAUCUUUCCGUUGUUGCAUUGCUAUGCAAAUUCACUUCGGUUUUGGCUUUUUCAUAUGAUAUUGUCUGUUUUUAUUGGUCAUUUGUACUAUAUGUGAAUUGAUAGGCUGUGGUGCCAUAAAAUAAUUGUUUUAUUAUAUAACAUUUUUUAUUAUUAUUGUUUAUCGUUUUUGCACUGCAAUUUUUGGUGAUAAGCACAAAAUAUAAACUCCUGAUAACAUGAAGAAUCCAGACUGAAUGUGAAGAGGAGUUUCUGUACUGUAAACUAAAAAAAAAUAUAUAUAUAUAAGAGGUUUUGCUUUGGAAAGGGCCAGCACCCCAAGGAAGGUUGUGGUAUUUAUCUAGACCUAACAUAUACAGGAUUAAAAAGGCUAGAAAUAGAUUGUGAUAGUGGCAGGUGUAUCUGUUAAAAUCAUAGUAUUAGUGUAGAGCGGAAGAGAACAGGUGCACACAGAGAUGGCUGAGGUUCAAAUGGCACACACUAAAUAAAUCUUCAAUGGGCAUCACAGUUCAUUUGGUGGAGCCUGCUCCUGUCAAUAGCACCUUUCCCAGUGUGAAUUCAAAGGAGGGUGGGGGCUGCCUGGGAAGUGAUUAAAAGAUCAUAACACUCAUUAUAAUGCCACAUUUGCGUAUUUGUAGUUUUGUUUCAAUUCAUAAAAAGGUACGGGUAAUGCAUGUUGUUUCUGUCAAAGCUAUCUACAGAGCAUGAUAAGGUAAUGAAACACAUCUCAUUUAUGGAAUAAUCUAUGCAAUGCACAAAGACUUUUCUCUUCUUUCUUCAUUUUGAUUUAUUUCAAGAGAAACAAUAGUCUUUGAGUAAUUGCUUGCUUUUACUAAGCUGAAGAAUGUAUCCUUGCUGUUUUUUAAUGUGGUUCCCUCAAGUCAUGGCCUGUCUCACUUGGCUAGUACUAACACAGGCACAUCUGUCCAGCACUCCAACCUACACUUCAGCUUCAGGGACCAAAGUACAAGCUCCUUCAGCAGAACAGCAAACAGCACCUAGUAUGUUGAUUUAGAGCAGGAAACAACUUUAGUCAAUGUGGUUUCUAAGGUAUAUGAUUCCAGCUUUUCCCUUAUAGACAGGAUGAUCUCUAUUUAGGAGUGGCUA
RNA transcript from Lepisosteus oculatus (spotted gar), 6875 nucleotides. It is a transcript of the gene named roundabout, axon guidance receptor, homolog 2 (Drosophila), with no coding region annotated. The record is from RefSeq and is a predicted model, not a curated record. NCBI's taxonomy places the organism in Eukaryota, Metazoa, Chordata, Actinopteri, Semionotiformes, Lepisosteidae.